This 253-nucleotide ribosomal RNA is filed under the name uncultured bacterium. RNAcentral's name for it is "partial 16S ribosomal RNA". It matches the Rfam family "Bacterial small subunit ribosomal RNA", at positions 524 to 776 of the family's 1533-position model. The record is from RNAcentral.
GACAGAGGGGGCAAGCGUUGCUCGGAAUCACUGGGCGUAAAGGGCGCGUAGGCGGGAUGGCAAGUCAGUCGUGAAAUCUCUCGGCUCAACCGAGAAACGUCGGCUGAUACUGCCGUUCUUGAGGGAUGCAGAGGAGACUGGAAUUCCCGGUGUAGCGGUGAAAUGUGUAGAGAUCGGGAGGAACACCGGUGGCGAAGGCGGGUCUCUGGACCGAUACUGACGCUGAGGCGCGAAAGCGUGGGGAGCAAACAGG